RNAcentral lists this ribosomal RNA (176 nucleotides) under uncultured bacterium. Its description in RNAcentral is "partial 16S ribosomal RNA". It matches the Rfam family "Bacterial small subunit ribosomal RNA", at positions 1325 to 1500 of the family's 1533-position model. The record is from RNAcentral.
GCUGGAAUCGCUAGUAAUCNCAGAUCAGAAUGCUGCGGUGAAUACGUUCCCGGGUCUUGUACACACCGCCCGUCACACCAUGGGAGUUGGAAAUGCCCGAAGUCAGUGACCGAACCGAAAGGAAGGAGCUGCCGAAGGUGGAGCCGAUGACUGGGGUGAAGUCGUAACAAGGUAUC